This 4550-nucleotide long non-coding RNA is filed under the name Dicentrarchus labrax (European seabass). RNAcentral describes it as "lncRNA (ENSDLAG00005033018.1)". The record is from RNAcentral. Lineage: Eukaryota; Metazoa; Chordata; Actinopteri; Moronidae.
AUGUGUUGCUGUUCGUCUUCCUGCUCUUAUUCUUCUUUUAACACUACAAGCAGCCUAGAUGCAUCUCAAGCCUGCUGCUGCCCUCCACAGGUUUUAAAAAGAGAUGCCUGUUCAGUUAUUGCAGGAGAAGAAGAAGCCCCUGCAUCAACAAAAACUAAAAUCCUUCUGUCAGUGAGGAGGAAUCCACCGAAAGCCUCAAACUAAAGCAGGGGAGGGCAGACAAAUGAAGGACGGCUGAAUCGAAAAGCUCUGAUGAAAAUCAGGUUGAGUUGCCAGCGGCUGUUUGACUGCACUCACCCUCCGGUUUCCUCUGUUGUUUCAGCGGGAUGUCAGCUCCAGUGAGGGAGGAGAAGGGUCCCACAUUCUGCUGGCUGAGGCAGCAAUGUUCCUGGCAACAGGCGUGUUUCUGUACAAAAUGUAAAACAAUGUGCAGCACAGCCCGCAGCUUGUUACCAGUAACGUUAACUCAUUUGCACCUGAUGCACUGUGUAGACUAAUACAUUACUGACACUGACAUCCAACUUAGACUUGUUCACACCCUUUUUCUAUACGUCCCAUAUUGUUGUUGCAUUAUUUUAACUAAAUGAGACAACUCUGUGUCUGUUAUUGUCCUGGAUAACGAGCCAGCUAACAAUAACAACAACACUAUACCAACUAAUAUAACUAAGCUAGCUCAGAACCAAAUGAGGUAGCCUAAAUUAACGAAAAUUAGCUAUUACAUAUAUCAUAUACACACUACUGUAAUAUACAUAACAGUUAAAUGUAGCGUAAAUGAAGCAGCCCGAGAUACAUUAACUACUGACAGGCUUGUCAUACGUAAGAAAAUGAAGGGAAAGGCGGUUAAAAUCGCUAUAAACUUCCUGUAGUGAAGCAGGAGUCAGUCUGAGGCAAGCCCGGGCUGAGGCAUAGCGGGGAGAGGUCCGGCGAUAUAACACCUGCUGUAACUGCAGGGAAACGGGUGUUUGACGGCCAAAUGCUCCAAAUAAAAUAAAGAAAUAGGCCUAUCCGUCGUCAAACCUGGUAAAUUGUUUCUGACAUUUUGAGGCCUAUAUAAACGAAGUCAUUCUUAACAAAUAUCCUCACCUCCUUUCUCCAUGUCUGCCAUUUUCAAGGUUAAAGCAGCAGUGGGUCAUUUUUAUGAAAAUCAUUUUAGGUCAUAUUUGCUUAAGCUAUAUUCUGACAGUAGUACACGAGACAGAUAAUCAGGUGGCGUCAAAUACAGACGCUUUGGGACAAUGGGAAUGAGACUCAACAAUCAGUUAUCUUCAAGCCUGCAACCAAAAGCAUCUUUAUAUCUUGCUUGGCUCUGAUUGGUUGUUUUCGUUCAGGCCUGGUGGAUUCUUACAAAUUCUAUUAGGAGCACUAGGAGGAAUCAUAUAUUUUUCACGGACUAUCUGUUUGAUGUGCUACUGCCAGGACACAGUGAAAAUUUCAGCUAUUUAUUUCUUAUAAAAGUUACCUACUGCAGCUUUAAAGCCACAGGUUGAUUUUCAUCCCAAGGCUUUAAUGAGUGUAUUUUCCUUUAUUCUGUUAUUUUUAGUUGCCAGUCAGACAUUAUCUCAGUAGACAGAAGUCACUAAGUGAAUGAAGAGAGUGAGGUUUUGACAGCCGAAGCAAUUUUCAUAGUGAGGUAGACAUCCAAGCAGACAGGUCUGACUACACAGGGCACUGUGGAAGUGGUAUGCUCUCAACUUUAGCAUGAAAUUUGGUAUGCAUGCCAAGCUUCAAAGUGAGUUACAAUUUGAGUUUCAAGUUGAAUUUUUGCCAUGUCAUCACUGGCUAUGAGUUUUUGAUGGUUGGAAAUCUCUAAAUUAAAAUAUUUAGAAUUUUCACAGCAGAUUGAAUUCCAAAAUGGAUGCUAUUAUGUUUCACACUGUUUUAAUGACAUGAACAUUGAGGGAACCAACUGCAGCAGAGUACAGUGGCAGAGAACAUCAUCAUGUUUCAACCUUGAUGAAAUACUGAGAUGUUUUUAUCCUUUUUGAAAAAGGGAAGCAACAAAGACCACCUAUAGGAUUCAAAGCCAGGACACUGCAAGAAUGUAGUAUGUGUCCCAGACCAGGUCCAAAAGGUCACCCCUCCGCUUUUAGUCCUGCUCCCAUUUGAGACUUUCUUUAAUUACACUUGCUGCUGAUUCAUGUAAACCAUAUUAAGAAUAUGGAUUUUGACUUCCCUUUUGGGCAAUUGUAAUCAUCAACAGCCGCGGCCAUUUAGGUAGUUCCCAAACAUUGUCUUUCAUGAAAACAGUCUGUUUAAAAGCUACUAUAAUUAAUACAUGUUGGCUUGGCAGAUAUCACAACCAGCAUCAGUCAUACAGACAACUUCUUCAUAGCUGCUGCCAACGUCAAGUUUACUGUCACAUGCAUUAGUCAAACUGUUGAUAUAAAGAAAGGUUCUUUGAGGACAACCUCAUAAAUACCUUUAACACCGCUUAUUCCCCCCUCCUGCCAAACAGCCAGAGGGUUCUAAAUAAAACUAGAUAUGCCAAGUGAGCUGGCAGGAGGAACAAUGCUUUUAGUGAGUUCCUCAGUGAUCUGGGCCACGAGGUGGGGGAGGGAGGGCAAAUUAAAGAUGAAAACUGUGGGCUGAAAGGGCUUAAGGUAAUGAUUCAUGGCCGGUUUCAGUGAAUGUUUCUUCAUUUAUUAAAUGCAUCAGUCCGUUUCUUCGUUGACUGCAAGCCAAGACACAGUUUUUGCUGAUUGUGACUUUGCCUAAAUGGGAAAUUGAGUGCUGAAUGUCGGGAGUGCUUUUCACGGAGUGCUUAGCGCUCCUGCUUCGUCUCCUCCAUGCUGUGUUCAUGACUUCAUUUCUUAUUGGCUGCUUCUGAAAGAAAUGUAUUGAAUAGCACUUAAGAGCUACAUCAUCAACAUUAAUUAAGAACUUAUUACAAGGGAUUCACCAGAGGCAGCAGUGCAUUUUAUUGCAGAUAUAAAACUACCCUGAAAAAGUUAAAAAUGACUGCCAUUGCAAAAAUUUGCAAAAGCUGUCAUUAUUUUAAAGGACAAGAGUGUAGGAUUUAGUGGCAUCUAAGUAAAGUUGCUGAUUGCAACACCCUCGCCUCACCCUCCUGUCCCAAGUGUGUAGGAGAAACAACUGUGGCUGCAAAAAUCUGGGCCCCAUCUCAGAGGUAGACACCCUUUGGGUUCAGAGCUGUAUGUGGCUCUUUAGCCCCUCUCCAGUGGCACUAGGGUGGCCAUUCGUCCGGCUUUAGGCCGGACAGUCCGGCUUUUAAAUACUCAUUUGUCCUCCUUUUAAGAAAAUAACUAAAAAGGUCCGCCUUUUGACACAUUUCCUUAGUAAGUUUAAUACUUAUUGGCUAAAAAUGUGUGUCAAAAUAAGUAAUUUCAUUGGUUACAUUUUCGUGUCCUGACCUUCAACACAUGGCUAAUUUUAAUAUUCAAGUGAGCCAUGUGUUGAUUCGCCACAACAGGCACUCGCCUUGCUACCACCAGGCUGUCAAUCAAGCUCUCAGCAACAGAGAACAUAACGUGAGCUAAUGUCGGUAGUUGGACUGAAAUUCUGACAAUGCUCAUACUCAUAUGUAUAGGCAAAGUCUAUACAUCUGAAACAGAAGGUGCUGUAUUUUGUUUACCCUUUAUCUAUCCAGAUAAAAACAUUAAGAACAGUUUCUGUAUGAUGUUUAUUAGACCUAUGUAAUCUGAAUUGGAGGGGCACGUUGUCAUGAGCUGUAUCUUGUAUAUUUAUUAUUAGCUAUGUGGUAUGUGUAUGCACCUUUAUGUAAUCUGGUGGAAAAACAUAUUCAAAUUUGUCCUCCUUUUUGAUGUGAAGGAAAUGGCCACCCUAAGUGGCACCCUGCGGCUUUGAGUAAAAAAUUAUGUGGAAACAAAUAAAGGUUACUUUUAAAAUUUUUGUCAUUGCUGUUACAUUCUCCAGUUGUAAAAAUGAGUAACCAGUUAACAUUUCAUCAACUAAAAUGAGCAUAACAAUACGUCCUGCCCAGGCGCCCUUUUCUCUUUAUUUUGCCAAACCUCAAUAACGGUGGCUUCGACUCUCAGAGGAAAAUAUAGAAUUGAAUAGAUUUGUUUGAUUUCACAGCCAACACUGCGAGCUUACCAGUAUGUUUGAUCUGCAGUGAGAAAUUAGCAUUAUAAGGCUCAAAUAUGUUUUGCGGCUCCAGACAGAUUUGGCUCUUUUGAUAGUAAAGGUUGCUGACCCCUGUCCUAUCUAGGAGCCAGUGUUUGGUUUGUCCAUUCUGGGCUACUGUAGAAACAUAGCGGUUCAACAUGGCGGACUCAGUAGAAGAGGACCCACUCCCUCUGUACAUUAAACAGCUCAUUCUAAGGUAACAAAAACACAACAUGUCUUAUAUUCAGAUUAUUAUAAACUAAUAACUAAUAAACUAAGACCUUUAAGUUGCUUUAAAGGUCAUUUCCUGCAACAACAAAAAAAAAACCUAUGUUCCUUACUAUUGCUUUUAUCAAUAUAUCAUGAGUGACUGCCACUCUCAUCAAACAUCUCAUUUGCAGAGCUAUUUUUAAACAUUCCACUUUGAGCUGUUGGACAAGGUGUUCACUGCUUUGUCAGUGUCA